RNAcentral lists this ribosomal RNA (352 nucleotides) under Penaeus vannamei (Pacific white shrimp). RNAcentral's name for it is "partial 16S ribosomal RNA". It matches the Rfam family "Bacterial large subunit ribosomal RNA", at positions 1945 to 2495 of the family's 2925-position model. Lineage: Eukaryota; Metazoa; Arthropoda; Malacostraca; Decapoda; Penaeidae. The record is from RNAcentral.
UUUGUGCGAAGGUAGCAUAAUCAUUAGUCUUUUAAUUGGAGGCUCGUAUGAAUGGUUGGACAAAAAGCAAACUGUCUCAAUUAUAUUUAUUGAAUUUAACUUUUAAGUGAAAAGGCUUAAAUAAAUUAAGGGGACGAUAAGACCCUAUAAAGCUUUACAAUAAGUUACCUAUAUUAUAAAUUGUUAGUAUAACUUGAGUUUAGGUAACGUUUGUUGCGUUGGGGCGACGAGAAUAUAAUAAGUAACUGUUCUUAAGUUAUUUAAUGACAGAAAUUUCUGGAAAAUUAAUGAUCCUCUACUAGAGAUCAUAAGAUUAAGUUACUUUAGGGAUAAACAGCGUAAUCUUCUUUGA